RNAcentral lists this long non-coding RNA (1064 nucleotides) under Cricetulus griseus (Chinese hamster). Its description in RNAcentral is "lncRNA (ENSCGRG00000025348.1)". The record is from RNAcentral. Lineage: Eukaryota; Metazoa; Chordata; Mammalia; Rodentia; Cricetidae.
CUGGGGCUCCCCAGGCUCAGAUAAUAGAGAAAGCAUGGCAUCCAGGGUUGCCAGGUAACUGGACUGGACUCUGGGCUGAUGCCUUCAAAGCUCAGUCUUCCCCCUCCUAUCUUAGAGCCCCUGGAGUCAAAGGCAAUCAUGAAGGCAGGGGUGGGUGGAUCUUAACAUGGUUGUAUGGGAAGGGAGGAUUUGGCUGCUCUUGGCCUCUCUCAAGAACGAGCAGCUGUGGGAGCAGCUGAGUGACAGAAUGAUAACUCAGUUGUGAAGUCUCCUUCACAAUUAGCUCAAGGCCCAGGGAUGUCAUCAAAGGAAAGGUCAAUGCCUCCCCGGUGUCAUCCUCCCAGUGUGGGGUCUUCCACCUCAGCUUGGGAAGGGGCCAGAGCAGAUGCUGGUCUCCAGGGGUUCUGCUUAGAAAAUUGCUCAUCAGUGAACUGUAUGGAGGAGGAGGAGAACUGCCUCCAUGUUCCCUCCUAGGAAAAGAGUGACUCUCCACUUGAUGAAGUCCCCUCCAGGUUCAGAGGACAAACAGACAGCUCCCAAGUACAUCCUCCUUUCCCAGAUGGCCUCAGCAGACACAGCACUCGUGACUUGCCAUAAACACUCCAGGGGAGGCAGAUGACUCAUGCUGAACUCACCAGAAGCCGGCCAUCCCCAGGGUGGCUGGAAAGCAAAGCUCUCUUGAUGUACACGCUGGCAGAGGGCCCCUCACAGAACCCAUCCUCACCAGGCAAACAAACCAACCACCAGAAAGCUCAAGUCUCUUCAGCUUGCUACAGCAGAUGAGUGAGCAGUCUACCAGUCUAGUGCUCGUUCUGGUGCAGACAUGCAGGUCCCAGAGAGCCUCUUCACAGAGAGAUGCCAGUUUGGACAAAAGGUUCAGAGAGUCGGAGGCACCUAGGCUCACAUCCACGUUUUUCUUCUCAUCAACAUCCCUAUGUAAAAGAAGAUGUUUGUGGAGACCUAAAACCAGGAUCCAGAGUGGCUGGCUGCUUAUGCAACUGUCGGUGGCUCCAAGGGUAUGCAUCAUGAGAGAGGCCACCUUGGAUACUGUCCUGCCUCCUUGA